This 139-nucleotide small nucleolar RNA is filed under the name Setaria italica (foxtail millet). Its description in RNAcentral is "Small nucleolar RNA Z247". It matches the Rfam family "Small nucleolar RNA Z247". Rfam says of the family: Z247 is a member of the C/D class of snoRNA which contain the C (UGAUGA) and D (CUGA) box motifs. Most of the members of the box C/D family function in directing site-specific 2'-O-methylation of substrate RNAs. RNAcentral also lists the same sequence under 1 other name. Lineage: Eukaryota; Viridiplantae; Streptophyta; Magnoliopsida; Poales; Poaceae. The record is from Rfam by way of RNAcentral.
CCCCUCGAUAAAGGAGAACUUGUCGAGCACAUCCUCACCGGCUUGAAUGGAGAAUUUGAGUCACUGGUGUCGGCUCUGGUGGCAAGAGUCAAGCCAAUUGGCAUGGAGGAGUUGUACUCCCAAAUGCUAAGCUUUGAGA